Molecule: long non-coding RNA, 534 nt
Filed under: Sorghum bicolor (sorghum)
Lineage: Eukaryota; Viridiplantae; Streptophyta; Magnoliopsida; Poales; Poaceae
Description: long non-coding RNA (SBIC_LNC017419)
Source: RNAcentral
GGCUCACGACACCAGAACUCAAAGCAAGGCCACGCACAUACCAGAGUAGCAAGUAACGCUCUGUCCACCACGCAAAGUCGAGACCUAGGACUUAGCCCUCUCUUGCAACCUGCUUGUAUACCCCUACUACGAGCACUUUCGGAUGCAAGGCAAUACAGACCCCCAAUCUCACACUGGACGUAGGGCACCCUUGGCCCGAACCAGUAUAAAUUCUCUGUGUUUCACUUGCAUCACCAUCCGGGUUUAGGAAGACACGCAGAUUUAUUACUCGUUAGCGUCUAGACUCGACACUAUUAUUAACUGAGAACUAGAAACACUGAAGUUUAUUGUUCUAUUUUUAAAAGAAGUUGGCUCCAAUCAACCAAAGAAGAAAGGUCGUGGUACUGUUAAAGGAAAAACAUUAGUCAAUAAGAGAGUUAAGGAACGCAACCAAAAACUUUCAAUUGAAUUUUUUGAGACUCGUGCAGGACCUAUUGGACUGAAUAGCCGUGCAUUUGUUGAUGAGAUUGUAAUAUUUAUAAGGAAAUGGGCCCC